GACGAACGCUGGCGGCGUGCCUAAUACAUGCACGUCGACCUUAGUGGCGAACGGGUGAGUAAUACGUGGGUAACCUGCCCAUCAGAAGGGGAUAACAUUUGGAAACAGGGGUUAAUACCGUAUACUGAUGGAUGGAACCGCGGUGCAUUAGCUAGUUGGUGUGUUAACGGCGCACCAAGGCCACGAUGCAUAGCCGACCUGCGAGGGUGAUCGGCCACAUUGGGACUGGGACACGGCCCAAACUCCUACGGGAGGCAGCAGUAGGGAAUCUUCGGCAAUGGACGAAAGUCUGACCGAGCAACGCCGCGUGAGUGAAGAAGGUUUUCGGAUCGUAAAACUCUGUUGUUAGAGAAGCGGUAUCUAACCAGAAAGCCACGGCUAACUACGUGCCAGCAGCCGCGGUAAUAC
Molecule: ribosomal RNA, 408 nt
Filed under: uncultured bacterium
Lineage: Bacteria
Description: partial 16S ribosomal RNA
Rfam family: Bacterial small subunit ribosomal RNA
Source: RNAcentral